GCCUCCUAGAUAGUGGGGUUACAGGCCUGUGUCACCACAUCCAGCUUCAGAUUGGCUUCUUUCACUCCAUAAGUUUCUUCCAUGUCUUUUCACAGCUCCAUAGCUAUUUUAUUUUCAGUUGUUGUUGGUGUUGUUGUUUGUUAGUACAUGCUUGUAGCACACAAUGACCAGAUUCCUGCACACUGCAAUCGAUUCAGCAAUCUGCAUUUAGUACCAGCUCUGUGCCAGGCACUCGAAAGGCCACAGGGAUGAAAAGACAUGUGAGCAUUGGAUGUGAUCCCUCUUGAGUAGCUAGUAGUGUUUCAGCCAAGUACUAGGGUGAGGGCAGGUGCGCAUGUGUAUGCUUGCAGGAGUUCAAGUGUAGAGAGAAGGAAAGUAGGUUUCAUCCCUGCAUGCUCACUCACAGGCUCUGGGUACCUGGAGGGUCCAAGGUAGCCCCCACAAAUUCAUAGCUAGCUCAUGUAUGGCCAGUCUAUUUGAGUGUGUAUUCCAUUUCCUAGAGAAAUCAAAGGUCUGUGAAAUGUAGGACUGCUCUUGGGUCCUGGCAUAAUGCUCUUGGCCUGAUGAUGUCACAAGAUUUGUUGUAAACCAAUUCUGAAAGUCUUCAGGAAGCAUCUCUACUGUCAAAGAAACAAGGAAGGAGAAAUGCCCAUCCUACACUGUCCUAGCCAGAACAGGCCAUUAUACCCACAGUCAGAGGACAUUCGUCAUGAGAUGCCCACUGCAAGAGCCUAUCAUGCCAUUAAAUAUCAGUUCAGCUCCUACAUUGGGAGGGCACUACAUGGAGGUCCCUCCAUCACCUGCUUCUUUCCUCAAACACUACCUACGAUGGCUGCCUCUACCCCCCCAACGUUCCUUCGCCCUAAGAACCAAAGGUGAAUAUAUUCUAAGUGAUGGACAUCCAAACAUAGCCAAACUAAAGAGAACUUGAUGUGGGGAUAGGUGUUCUGACUCUUCUAGGAAUUCUCUGUCAACAAAGUAAUGACUUUACUGAAAAUGUUCCAUACAGCAGCAAAGGGUGCAUUUCCCAGCUAGAAUGUUGCACAGCACAUGAUAAAACCAGCACUGGUUGAAGGGAGAGCAGCUGCCGGGCUGUUCUACCCUCUAUCAGAUUGUCCCUGGGAUGAUGAAAAGUGUUCAGCUUCUAUCACUUUCUGGCCAGUGUUUAAUUUGUACAAAAUCUGAGAGACCACAGAAAUAUCCAUGUUCACAAAAUGAGAAGGCAAAGAAAACAACUUUGAGUAAGAAGGUGUAGAUACAAAGAAAUUCACCAUAUAGAAUUGAAAGUCUCAAAAUAAAUCCUCAUAUUUAUGAUCGACUGCUUUUCAACUAGG
RNAcentral lists this long non-coding RNA (1334 nucleotides) under Fukomys damarensis (Damara mole-rat). RNAcentral's name for it is "lncRNA (ENSFDAG00000028143.1)". Lineage: Eukaryota; Metazoa; Chordata; Mammalia; Rodentia; Bathyergidae. The record is from RNAcentral.